UACGGAGGGGGCUAGCGUUGUUCGGAAUUACUGGGCGUAAAGCGCGCGCAGGCGGUCUUCCAAGUCAGUGGUGAAAGCCCGGAGCUCAACUCCGGAACUGCCAUUGAAACUGUGAGACUUGAGGAUGAGAGAGGUGAGUGGAAUUCCCAGUGUAGAGGUGAAAUUCGUAGAUAUUGGGAAGAACACCGGUGGCGAAGGCGGCUCACUGGCUCAUAUCUGACGCUCAGGCGCGACAGCGUGGGGAUCAAACAGG
This 253-nucleotide ribosomal RNA is filed under the name uncultured bacterium. Its description in RNAcentral is "partial 16S ribosomal RNA". It matches the Rfam family "Bacterial small subunit ribosomal RNA", at positions 524 to 776 of the family's 1533-position model. The record is from RNAcentral.